RNAcentral lists this transfer RNA (92 nucleotides) under Colletotrichum orchidophilum. It matches the Rfam family "tRNA". Rfam says of the family: Transfer RNA (tRNA) molecules are approximately 80 nucleotides in length. Their secondary structure includes four short double-helical elements and three loops (D, anti-codon, and T loops). The record is from Rfam by way of RNAcentral. Lineage: Eukaryota; Fungi; Ascomycota; Sordariomycetes; Glomerellales; Glomerellaceae.
UCCCAUAUAGUCCAGUGGUUAGGAUACUCCGCUUUCAAUCACUUUAUUGAACAAAUACCGGAGAGACCCGAGUUCGAACCUCGGUGUGGGAA